RNAcentral lists this transfer RNA (87 nucleotides) under Candidatus Bathyarchaeota archaeon ex4484_205. Its description in RNAcentral is "tRNA-Ser". It matches the Rfam family "tRNA". From Rfam's summary of the family: Transfer RNA (tRNA) molecules are approximately 80 nucleotides in length. The record is from RNAcentral. RNAcentral also lists the same sequence under 3 other names. Lineage: Archaea; Thermoproteati; Candidatus Bathyarchaeota.
GCCGGGGUGGCUGAGUCUGGUAAGGCGCUGGCCUGCUAAGCCAGUGGGCUUAUGCCCUCCGGGGUUCAAAUCCCCGCCCCGGCGCCA